RNAcentral lists this ribosomal RNA (1776 nucleotides) under Listeria monocytogenes. RNAcentral's name for it is "partial 23S ribosomal RNA". It matches the Rfam family "Bacterial large subunit ribosomal RNA", at positions 408 to 2182 of the family's 2925-position model. Lineage: Bacteria; Bacillati; Bacillota; Bacilli; Caryophanales; Listeriaceae. The record is from RNAcentral.
CUGAGUACGGCGGAACACGUGAAAUUCCGUCGGAAUCCGGGAGGACCAUCUCCCAAGGCUAAAUACUCCCUAGUGACCGAUAGUGAACCAGUACCGUGAGGGAAAGGUGAAAAGCACCCCGGAAGGGGAGUGAAACAGUUCCUGAAACCGUGUGCCUACAAGUAGUUAGAGCCCGUUAAUGGGUGAUAGCGUGCCUUUUGUAGAAUGAACCGGCGAGUUACGAUUUGUUGCAAGGUUAAGCGGAAAAAGCGGAGCCGUAGCGAAAGCGAGUCUGAAUAGGGCGCAUAAGUAACAGGUCGUAGACCCGAAACCAGGUGAUCUACCCAUGUCCAGGAUGAAGGUAAGGUAAUACUUACUGGAGGUCCGAACCCACGCACGUUGAAAAGUGCGGGGAUGAGGUGUGGGUAGCGGAGAAAUUCCAAUCGAACUUGGAGAUAGCUGGUUCUCUCCGAAAUAGCUUUAGGGCUAGCCUCGAGGUAAAGAGUCAUGGAGGUAGAGCACUGUUUGGACUAGGGGCCCUUCUCGGGUUACCGAAUUCAGAUAAACUCCGAAUGCCAUGUACUUAUACUCGGGAGUCAGACUGCGAGUGAUAAGAUCCGUAGUCGAAAGGGAAACAGCCCAGACCACCAGUUAAGGUCCCCAAAUAUAUGUUAAGUGGAAAAGGAUGUGGGGUUGCUUAGACAACCAGGAUGUUGGCUUAGAAGCAGCCACCAUUGAAAGAGUGCGUAAUAGCUCACUGGUCGAGUGACCCCGCGCCGAAAAUGUACCGGGGCUAAACAUAUUACCGAAACUGUGGAUGAACCUCUUUAGAGGUUCGUGGUAGGAGAGCGUUCUAAGGGCGGUGAAGUCAGACCGGAAGGACUGGUGGAGCGCUUAGAAGUGAGAAUGCCGGUAUGAGUAGCGAAAGAAGGGUGAGAAUCCCUUCCACCGAAUAUCUAAGGUUUCCUGAGGAAGGCUCGUCCGCUCAGGGUUAGUCGGGACCUAAGCCGAGGCCGAUAGGCGUAGGCGAUGGACAACAGGUAGAGAUUCCUGUACCAGUGCUAAUUGUUUAACCGAUGGGGUGACACAGAAGGAUAGGGAAUCGCACGAAUGGAAAUGUGCGUCCAAGCAGUGAGUGUGAGAAGUAGGCAAAUCCGCUUCUCGCGAAGCAUGAGCUGUGAUGGGGAAGGAAAUUAAGUACGGAAGUUCCUGAUUUCACGCUGUCAAGAAAAGCCUCUAGGAAGAGUAGUACUGCCCGUACCGCAAACCGACACAGGUAGAUGAGGAGAGAAUCCUAAGGUGAGCGAGAGAACUCUCGUUAAGGAACUCGGCAAAAUGACCCCGUAACUUCGGGAGAAGGGGUGCUCUAUUAGGGUGCAAGCCCGAGAGAGCCGCAGUGAAUAGGCCCAGGCGACUGUUUAGCAAAAACACAGGUCUCUGCAAAACCGUAAGGUGACGUAUAGGGGCUGACGCCUGCCCGGUGCUGGAAGGUUAAGAGGAGUGCUUAGCUUCGGCGAAGGUACGAAUUGAAGCCCCAGUAAACGGCGGCCGUAACUAUAACGGUCCUAAGGUAGCGAAAUUCCUUGUCGGGUAAGUUCCGACCCGCACGAAAGGCGCAACGAUCUGGGCACUGUCUCAACGAGAGACUCGGUGAAAUUAUAGUACCUGUGAAGAUGCAGGUUACCCGCGACAGGACGGAAAGACCCCGUGGAGCUUUACUGCAACCUGAUAUGGAAUGUUUGUACCGCUUGUACAGGAUAGGUAGGAGCCGAAGAGACGUGUGCGCUAGCAUACGAG